Molecule: ribosomal RNA, 648 nt
Filed under: uncultured Alphaproteobacteria bacterium
Lineage: Bacteria; Pseudomonadati; Pseudomonadota; Alphaproteobacteria
Description: bacterial SSU rRNA
Rfam family: Bacterial small subunit ribosomal RNA
Source: RNAcentral
ACAUGCAAGUCGAACGGCUCUUCGGAGCAGUGGCGGACGGGUGAGUAACGCGUGGGAACGUGCCCUUUGGUUCGGAACAACACAGGGAAACUUGUGCUAAUACCGGAUGAGCCCUUCGGGGGAAAGAUUUAUCGCCAUUGGAGCGGCCCGCGUUGGAUUAGGUAGUUGGUGGGGUAAAGGCCCACCAAGCCGACGAUCCAUAGCUGGUCUGAGAGGAUGAUCAGCCACACUGGGACUGAGACACGGCCCAGACUCCUACGGGAGGCAGCAGUGGGGAAUCUUGCGCAAUGGGCGAAAGCCUGACGCAGCCAUGCCGCGUGAAUGAUGAAGGUCUUAGGAUUGUAAAAUUCUUUCACCGGGGAAGAUAAUGACGGUACCCGGAGAAGAAGCCCCGGCUAGCUUCGUGCCAGCAGCCGCGGUAAUACGAAGGGGGCUAGCGUUGCUCGGAAUUACUGGGCGUAAAGGGCGCGUAGGCGGACAGUUUAGUCAGAGGUAAAAGCCCAGGGCUCAACCUUGGAACUGCCUUUGAUACUGGCUGUCUUGAGUUCGGGAGAGGUGAGUGGAAUGCCGAGUGUAGAGGUGAAAUUCGUAGAUAUUCGGCGGAACACCAGUGGCGAAGGCGACUCACUGGCCCGAUACUGACGCUGA